This is a long non-coding RNA of Manis pentadactyla (Chinese pangolin), 379 nucleotides long. RefSeq lists it as uncharacterized. The record is from RefSeq and is a predicted model, not a curated record. The transcript is spliced from 2 exons. NCBI's taxonomy places the organism in Eukaryota, Metazoa, Chordata, Mammalia, Pholidota, Manidae.
GCUGGACCUGGACCAAGCCAACGGGAAGUGGCCUCAAGCCAGGCACUCCACACACUGGGUCUGUGUGACCUGGAGCUCCUGAAAUGGCCUGACUCCCAGCAGGGCUACAUCCUCAAGCUAAAUGUGAACCAGUAAUGAAUUGUGACCUGCAUCCAGACACUGAGUAAGGCUUGCCAUCUUGGGGGAAGAACAUAAAAGAGAGACCCAUCUCUGAGAUGUUACAAACACAAGGUGAUUCUUCCGACAGUCUGUAGCCUGGGCUUGUUGCCUGGCUGGUCCAGCAGACUUCAGGCUAUGAGUUUGGUCAAUGGUGGUCCCAGACCACCAUGUCCAACUUGAACCUAAAAUCCAACAGUGAAAACUAACACUGCUCCUCAAC